This 467-nucleotide ribosomal RNA is filed under the name uncultured bacterium. Its description in RNAcentral is "bacterial SSU rRNA". It matches the Rfam family "Bacterial small subunit ribosomal RNA", at positions 926 to 1391 of the family's 1533-position model. The record is from RNAcentral.
CAAGCGGUGGAGCAUGUGGUUUAACUCGAAGCAACGCGCAGAACCUUACCAGCCCUUGACAUGGCCACGACCGGUUCGGAGACGAACUUUCCCCGCAAGGGGCGUGGUGCCCAGGUGCUGCAUGGCUGUCGUCAGCUCGUGUCGUGAGAUGUUGGGUUAAGUCCCGCAACGAGCGCAACCCUCGCCUCUAGUUGCCAGCACUUUCAGGUGGGCACUCUAGUGGAACUGCCGGUGACAAGCCGGAGGAAGGUGGGGAUGACGUCAAGUCCUCAUGGCCCUUAUGGGCUGGGCUACACACGUGCUACAAUGGCGGUGACAGAGGGAAGCCAGGUCGUGAGGCCGAGCCGAUCCCUAAAAGCCGUCUCAGUUCAGAUUGCACUCUGCAACUCGGGUGCAUGAAGGUGGAAUCGCUAGUAAUCGCGGAUCAGCACGCCGCGGUGAAUACGUUCCCGGGCCUUGUACACACC